RNAcentral lists this unclassified non-coding RNA (280 nucleotides) under Hevea brasiliensis (rubber tree). Lineage: Eukaryota; Viridiplantae; Streptophyta; Magnoliopsida; Malpighiales; Euphorbiaceae. The record is from RNAcentral.
UUCUGCAAUGGAAGGAUAUUGGGACCCUAAUCUAGAAAGAAGAUCGACGAGCUGAGAUUUGUUGAGAGGGUCAAGAAGAAAACGGAGGUGCUCUUGGGUUGUUGAGAAUUCAGCGCCUUUGCUUGCCUCCUCCAUCUUGAUCUUCCUCUUCUUCAAGUCUUCCAUUUCAGGCUUUCUCUUAGCUUCCUCUAUCUCUGUGCUAUGUAUGUGAAAGACUCGACGAGGGAGGUUUACACAGUCUUCAAACUGGGAGUAUCCGUGCGGUGAUUUUCGUUUCGAA